This 253-nucleotide ribosomal RNA is filed under the name uncultured bacterium. RNAcentral's name for it is "partial 16S ribosomal RNA". It matches the Rfam family "Bacterial small subunit ribosomal RNA", at positions 524 to 776 of the family's 1533-position model. The record is from RNAcentral.
UACGUAGGGUGCAAGCGUUGUCCGGAAUUAUUGGGCGUAAAGAGCUCGUAGGCGGUUUGUCGCGUCUGCUGUGAAAACCCGAGGCUCAACCUCGGGCCUGCAGUGGGUACGGGCAGACUAGAGUGCGGUAGGGGAGAUUGGAAUUCCUGGUGUAGCGGUGAAAUGCGCAGAUAUCAGGAAGAACACCCGUGGCUAAGGCGGUUCUCUGGGCCGAUACUGACGCUGAGGAGCGAAAGCGUGGGGAGCGAACAGG